This 253-nucleotide ribosomal RNA is filed under the name uncultured Eubacteriales bacterium. RNAcentral's name for it is "partial 16S ribosomal RNA". It matches the Rfam family "Bacterial small subunit ribosomal RNA", at positions 524 to 776 of the family's 1533-position model. Lineage: Bacteria; Bacillati; Bacillota; Clostridia; Eubacteriales. The record is from RNAcentral.
UACGUAGGUGGCAAGCGUUGUCCGGAAUUACUGGGUGUAAAGGGAGCGCAGGCGGGACUGCAAGUUGGAAGUGAAAUACCGCAGCUUAACUGCGGAGCUGCUUCCAAAACUGUAGUUCUUGAGUGGAGUAGAGGUAGGCGGAAUUCCGAGUGUAGCGGUGAAAUGCGUAGAUAUUCGGAGGAACACCAGUGGCGAAGGCGGCCUACUGGGCUCUUACUGACGCUGAGGCUCGAAAGUGUGGGGAGCAAACAGG